Pelodiscus sinensis (Chinese soft-shelled turtle) is the source of this 1001-nucleotide non-coding RNA. The record is from RefSeq and is a predicted model, not a curated record. NCBI's taxonomy places the organism in Eukaryota, Metazoa, Chordata, Testudines, Trionychidae.
GCAGCCCUAGAAACUGUAUAAAAGGGCUCGUGGCUCAGAACUCUGCUAAACGCUUCUCUGGACUUCAUCUCCUCGGUGAUCUCGGUUUCCCUCCAUCACACAAAGAUGUCUUGCUAUCCAGAAUGCGGGGUGGCCCGACCCAGCCCAGUUUCCGGCACCUUCAACGAGCCGUGCGUGAGGCAGUGCCCUGACUCCCAAGUGCUGAUCAGACCCUCACCGAUUGCCAUGACCAUCCCAGGGCCCAUUAUGAGCACCUUCCCUCAGCACAGCGAAGUGGGAGCUGUUGGAGCCCCCUUCGUGGGAUCCGGCUACGGGGGCUCCUUUGGAGCUGGAGGACUGUUCGGCUCUGGAGCUGGUUACGGGGGAUUGUUUGGCUUGGGAGGAUCAGGUGGUUAUGGGGGACUCUGUGGUUAUGGAGGUCGUUAUGGUUAUGGGGGAGGUUAUGGCACUGGGGUAUCUUGUCAUAGGUACCUGAGUGCAUGCGGCUCACCAUGUUAGACAGGGCACGAAUCUCUAUGGCCAAAGGAAAGACCAGGAAAUGAAUAGCAACCGAUCGAUUACAAUAUCAAUUUCAGAAGGGCCGUGCCAGCCUGGCUCCAGCUGAGCUCCACGCGAGCUGUAUCUGCCCAGCCCCUUUCUCUCAUGGACCCAUUUAUAAUGUCUUGCUAGGAACUCUUUCUGCCAAUUCUUUCCCCACCACAUGCUUCUUCUCUUUUGCUCAUUUGGACUCCCUCUGAAUUACAUUCACCGUGUUUGUACGAAUCACGCAGUGGGAAGGGAACAGGGGUCUUCAGAAAGGCAUCAGUUGCAUAUGUGUUGUGUUCUCAAAACUUGUAGCUCCAACAAAGGAAAAAGAACUUCCCACAUCCAAUGCGUCUGACGGAAGGGGGUGAUGGUUCAUAGCCAGUAUUAAUGUAUUAAUACACUAGGAAUCCUUUUUUCCUGCUUUGUAAUUGUGUAUUGCAAAUUUCAUUCACAUUAAAACCUCUGCUGCAUCAGAA